GAUGAACGCUAGCGGCAGGCCUAACACAUGCAAGUCGAGGGGGUAGCAGGAUUAAGCUUGCUUAAUUGCUGACGACCGGCGCACGGGUGCGUAACGCGUACGCAACCUACCUUAUACUGGGGUAUAGCCCGGAGAAAUUCGGAUUAAUCCCCCAUAGUACUAAUGAAUCGCAUGGUUUAUUAGUUAAAGCAUUGCGGUAUAAGAUGGGCAUGCGUCCUAUUAGCUAGAUGGUGAGGUAACGGCUCACCAUGGCUACGAUAGGUAGGGGGCCUGAGAGGGUGGUCCCCCACACUGGUACUGAGACACGGACCAGACUCCUACGGGAGGCAGCAGUGAGGAAUAUUGGUCAAUGGGCGCAAGCCUGAACCAGCCAUGCCGCGUGCAGGAAGAAUGCCCUAUGGGUUGUAAACUGCUUUUAUUUGGGAAUAAACCUCUUUACGUGUAGAGAGCUGAAGGUACCAAAUGAAUAAGCACCGGCUAACUACGUGCCAGCCGCCGCCGUAA
This 504-nucleotide ribosomal RNA is filed under the name uncultured bacterium. RNAcentral's name for it is "partial 16S ribosomal RNA". It matches the Rfam family "Bacterial small subunit ribosomal RNA", at positions 28 to 523 of the family's 1533-position model. The record is from RNAcentral.